AUUGCUUCUCAUCCUUUUGUCUAAGAUCAAGUGUAGUAUCUGUUCUUAUCAGUUUAAUAUCUGCUACGUUCUAAACUAUUUAAGAAAAUAAGAAUGCAGUUUUAGCACUUCUUUUUUUGUUGUUUUUUACUCCUGUAAGUAAAGUUUCAAAGUGGUUUCCCAUUGCCCUAAGGAUAAGGCAAGAUCUA
RNAcentral lists this small nuclear RNA (188 nucleotides) under Propithecus coquereli (Coquerel's sifaka). RNAcentral's name for it is "U2 spliceosomal RNA (ENSPCOG00000008633.1)". The stretch from base 1 to 113 matches the Rfam family "U2 spliceosomal RNA". From Rfam's summary of the family: U2 is a small nuclear RNA (snRNA) component of the spliceosome (involved in pre-mRNA splicing). Complementary binding between U2 snRNA (in an area lying towards the 5' end but 3' to hairpin I) and the branchpoint sequence (BPS) of the intron results the bulging out of an unpaired adenosine, on the BPS, which initiates a nucleophilic attack at the intronic 5' splice site, thus starting the first of two transesterification reactions that mediate splicing. Lineage: Eukaryota; Metazoa; Chordata; Mammalia; Primates; Indriidae. The record is from RNAcentral.